CCUCGGGAGGCAGCAGUGGGGAAUUUUCCGCAAUGGGCGAAAGCCUGACGGAGCAACGCCGCGUGAGGGAUGAAGGCCUCUGGGCUGUAAACCUCUUUUAUCAAGGAAGAAGAUCUGACGGUACUUGAUGAAUAAGCCACGGCUAAUUCCGUGCCAGCAGCCGCGGUAAUACGGNAGUGGCAAGCGUUAUCCGGAAUUAUUGGGCGUAAAGCGUCCGCAGGCGGCCCUUCAAGUCUGCUGUUAAAAAGUGGAGCUUAACUCCAUCAUGGCAGUGGAAACUGUUGGGCUUGAGUGUGGUAGGGGCAGAGGGAAUUCCCGGUGUAGCGGUGAAAUGCGUAGAUAUCGGGAAGAACACCAGUGGCGAANGCGCUCUGCUGGGCCAUCACUGACNCUCAUGGACNAAAGCCAGGGGAGCGAAAGGGAUUAUAUACCCCUGUAGUCCUGGCCGU
RNAcentral lists this ribosomal RNA (449 nucleotides) under uncultured bacterium. Its description in RNAcentral is "bacterial SSU rRNA". It matches the Rfam family "Bacterial small subunit ribosomal RNA", at positions 339 to 803 of the family's 1533-position model. The record is from RNAcentral.